This 405-nucleotide ribosomal RNA is filed under the name uncultured bacterium. RNAcentral's name for it is "bacterial SSU rRNA". It matches the Rfam family "Bacterial small subunit ribosomal RNA", at positions 355 to 776 of the family's 1533-position model. The record is from RNAcentral.
UAGGGAAUAUUGGGCAAUGGGCGAAAGCCUGACCCAGCAACGCCGCGUGCACGAUGAAGGCCUUCGGGUCGUAAAGUGCUUUUCUGAGGAAUGAGUAAGGACAGUACCUCAGGAAUAAGCCUCGGCUAACUACGUGCCAGCAGCCGCGGUAAAACGUAGGAGGCGAGCGUUAUCCGGAUUUACUGGGCGUAAAGCGUGUGUAGGCGGUUCGGCAAGUUGGAUGUGAAAGCUCCUGGCUUAACUAGGAGAGGUCGUUCAAUACUACCGAACUUGAGGGCAUCAGAGGAAGGUGGAAUUCCCGGUGUAGUGGUGAAAUGCGUAGAUAUCGGGAGGAACACCAGUGGCGAAAGCGGCCUUCUGGGAUGAUCCUGACGCUCAGACACGAAAGCUAGGGUAGCGAACGGG